GGGCUCAUAGCUCAGCCUGGUCAGAGCGACUGAAGGAAUGUCGAUGCUCUUAAGCUCUAGGUGAGACCAGUAGGCCGUGGGUUCGAAUAUCCAAGAGGACACUCCUCAGGAUACGCAAGUCCCACUGGGCCCG
RNAcentral lists this transfer RNA (133 nucleotides) under Candidatus Woesearchaeota archaeon. RNAcentral's name for it is "tRNA-OTHER". Lineage: Archaea; Nanobdellati; Candidatus Woesearchaeota. The record is from RNAcentral.